UACGUAGGGGGCAAGCGUCAUCCGGAAUUACUGGGUGUAAAGGGAGAGUAGGCGGUAUGGUAAGUUAGAUGUGAAAGCCUGAGGCUUAACCACAGGAUUGCAUUUAAAACUAUCAAACUAGAGUACAGGAGAGGGAAGCGGAAUUCCUAGUGUAGCGGUGAAAUGCGUAGAUAUUAGGAAGAACACCAGUGGCGAAGGCGGCUUUCUGGACUGAAACUGACGCUGAGGCUCGAAAGCGUGGGGAGCGAACAGG
Molecule: ribosomal RNA, 253 nt
Filed under: uncultured bacterium
Lineage: Bacteria
Description: partial 16S ribosomal RNA
Rfam family: Bacterial small subunit ribosomal RNA
Source: RNAcentral